CUUCUUCAUAAUCCUUCUCCAGAGCAGCCAGGUCCUCCCUGGCCUCAGAAAAUUCUCCUUCUUCCAUUCCCUCUCCAACAUACCAAUGCACAAAGGCUCGCUUGGCGUACAUGAGGUCAAACUUGUGGUCCAGGCGGGCCCAGGCCUCCGCAAUUGCUGUGGUGUUGCUCAGCAUGCAAACAGCCCGCUGGACUUUGGCCAGGUCCCCUCCUGGUACCACCGUGGGUGGCUGAUAGUUGAUGCCCACCUGAGGAACAGAGAAAGAAGAGGGACAACAAAAGAAAAUGCAGAGCAGCCAAAGGACAACUCAAAAUGGGGUUAUCUUGGUAAUAUGAUGUGGUAGCACGACACAGUCAUGGGUGUGGGGAUGGGAGCAGGCCUGGAUAUGAAAAGAUAGAAUCAAAGGGCUGAAGAAACAGAGAGAGGUGAGUGUUGAAGAUAAAUCAAAAGUGAGUGGAAUUGAGUACAGGCAAAUUCAAGAGGAAGGGCUAUGAAAUCUAAAACUGCAAAAGACUAGCUGGAAUUUAAAUAAAAACUUAGAAAAAAAUAAAGACUAUGAAAGAAGAGGAGAAUAGGGAUGGUAUUAGGUAGAAAUGUAGUGGGGAGAUUCAAGGAGACAAAUGAGGGUAACAAAUGAGAUCAAUAUUAACGGGGGUGUACAAUACAUGGUUAUCUUGAAAAGGAAAAUAGAUCCCCUUUUAGAGGCAAAUUAAUUUCUAGGCUUGAAGUUUAUUCUUUUCCACGUGGUCAUCUAAAGUUUUCAAUAAAUUUAGGGAAAUUUCUCUGCCAAGGGUAAAGUGCUGUUUAAAAGAUCAUGGAAGUGAGAUGCCUGGGUGGCUCAUGUCCGACUCUUGAUUUGGCUUGGGUCAUGAUCCCAGUUGUGGGAUUGAGACCCACAAUGGGCUCCACGCUGAACCUGCUUGAAAUUCUCUCACUCUCUCCCUCUUUCCCUCUAGCCCUCUCCCCCGUUCACACUGUCUUUCUCUCUCUCUAAAAUAAUAAAUAAAUAAAUAAAAAUUAAAAGAUCAUAGAGAUAUUCCAGAGCAAUAAAUUUAAAAAUUCAAAAGGUCUUGGGGAUUAAUGUUAGCCAGUCCCCAUGUCUCAGGGGAGUAGGCUUGUUAGAAGAAAAGCAAGGCCUUCAAUCAAAGAAAGUUCAUUAAAACCCUUGCCUGGACAAGCCUACUUCCCAAGAUCUGGUAGCAUGGCAAGGUUCUCCAAGCUAACCCUAGCCCAAUCUAAUGUUAGGGGUACUAUCUGAGAAAUCUCCCUUCUCCCCACACACAUACCCCAAACCAAAGUCAAUCUCAGGAACUGUAAGCAACUGGAAGAAGUCUGAGGGAACAAACUGUGAUAAUAUCCAUAGGACACUGAGAACAUAGUACACCCAAAAAAUAGCUCUCCUACCCAGGUCAUCAUGCCUUAAGUGUCAGCCUCUUAAAUUCAUAGCUUUAAAAUAUAUGUCUUCUUCAGAGAUGUAGGUGGGAAUUGCAGCAGUCUAUAUAGCCAAGGUGGGUAGCCCAUUAAAUGAAUUUAGAAUUAUCUAUUAUUCCUCUUAGACAAAAGUAGCUCUUGGUGGUGGAGGUGAUGCUAAGAUAGGGCAAAGGACCAAAAAUGAGAAAGGGAAGGGCAAUGAAUAUAAACUUCACUGCAUCAUAUAUUUUGCUCAAUCUGACCCUGACUAGAAAAAAACUUUGUGUCUGAAGCCAACUCUCCUCUCUCAAACAGUAAUUAUUCCUUCAACUGAUUCAAGUAGGGACAAACACCCUUGGGAAGAAUGCAAGAGGAUGAAAUUCAACAAUCAUAUGCUUUUCUGAAAAGCAGCUAAAGAUGCUGCACUACCUAUCUUUCUGGACAUAAUCCCCAAACUUCAGCUUAAAAUAAGAGAUAGAAAGAGGGGCAUCUCCUUUUUGUUAACUUCCCCACCACCCUCACAUCUCAUUUUUUUCUUUUUUCCUAUUCAUUUUCCUACUAGCUUGUUUUAUUGUUUGUUUACAUUUAAAUUUUUUAAAAAGAACUCCAUAUUUUGGAAGAUCUUGAUUGUUUUCACAGAAUGACCAGAAAUGACCCAUAAAAAUAGGUGUAGUCUUGGGGUGCGUGGGUGGCUCAGUCAGUUAAGUAUCUGACUCUUGAUUUUGGCUCAGGUCAUGAUCCGAGAUCAAGCUGCACUGACAGCACAGAGCCUGUUUGGUAUUCUCUUUCCUUCUUUCUCUGCCCCUUCCUGACACUCACAUGAAUGCACACUCUUUCUCUCUCAAAAUACAUAAACAUUUUUUUUUAAUGUAAGCAACAUUAUUUUUAAAAAUGGGUGUAGUCUAGAGGAAAGAUUGUGUAUGUAGCUAGGAGUAUAGCAGUGAGGAAGAAUGCUACCAAAGGAGAUUAGCUAGAUCAAAGCCUCAUAAUGCAAACAGGUCAGUCAAGAGACUGGCAAAUGGUGCCUUGUUUUUGUAAGUCCCACCAGGAAAACACAGAAUGCUCAUCUCUGUAUCUCUACCAACUGGUACAUCAACCCCUGGUGCUGAGUAAACCUCUGAAUUAUUAAAGGCAUGACUGGGAGGUUACUAAUUAAUAUUAAUGUAAAUGAUGAUAAUUAUUUUGAUAGCAGAAUCUGAUUAAAGACCAUAGGAACACAGGACAAAGUGGUCAAGCAGUUCACAUGCACAAAACCAGCUGCAUGUCUUGCCAGUGCAACUCAAAGAAGUGCCUUCUAACAUUCAACAUUCACUAGUCCUGAGAUCCAUGGGUCUUCCCUGGCUGUUGUAUCUCCUUACUAACCCUCAGAGUCUGGCAUUUUCCAUACUGUGGACACCUGAUCUACAACAGGCUUCCUCAGCUUCUGCUUACUUCUAGUUAAUGGGAAAUGUCAGGGCUUCACAAAAUAAGUGAUUCACAAUCCUAUAAUAACCAUAAAAUUUCUUCCUCACUGAGUUAAGACUUACAGGGUGAACACUUAAUUUUUCAAGAUAAAUUGGGAGAGAAACACAUCUUUUAUUAAAGGAUGGGAUUAUAUCUCUCUGAUAAUUUGAAUAAUUUGGUUAAUUCCAUUCUCUGAUCUAUUAUCAGAUUUCAUCUACCUCCACCCAUUCAUCCUGUUCAUCGCACUUGCCCACAUGUGUUCUUUCUACCCUGUACACUCCUCCCUAUUAUAGAAAAGCUCUUUUCUUCCUGACCUUUGAGAUGCUUAUAGAUGUUAGGGUAAGAGCAGUAGGAGACUUCUCCCUACUGUAGUAGUACCCCUCUGAAUACUGCAAUUGUCCUCCGCUCUCUUUUCUUUUUUUUUUCUCUCUCUCUUUUCAUAAUUCUUUCAAAUAAAGUUUCUCCUUACCUAAAAUGUAUGAAUGAAUGAAUGAAUGAAUGAAUGAAUGAAAUUAAUGCUAUCUUUGUCUUAAGCCCCUCUUCCCAUAUCAUCCCAUGAAAUCUGAAGAUCCCAUGGAAUUGUAUGCCUAAGACCCUGGAAUUUAUACAUCCUCCUUUCCCAUCCUUGGUAAUCUUCUGCUUCUCUAAUUGUCUACCUCCUCCCUAAGUCAUCAGCUCUCACCUUGAAGCCUGUGGGACACCAGUCUACAAACUGGAUAGUCCUCUUGGUCUUGAUGGCAGCAAUAGCGACAUUCACAUCCUUAGGCACGACGUCCCCCCGAUAGAGCAUGCAGCAGGCCAUGUACUUGCCAUGUCUUGGGUCACACUUCACCAUCUGGCUGUUGGGUUCAAAGCAGGAGCUCGUUAUCUCAGCCACAGAGAGUUGUUCAUGAUAGGCUUUCUCGGCAGAUAUGAUGGGUGCAUAAGUGACCAGUGGGAAGUGGAUACGGGGGUAGGGCACCAGGUUGGUCUGGAACUCAGUGAGGUCCACAUUGAGGGCCCCAUCAAAGCGGAGAGAGGCAGUGAUGGAGGACACAAUCUGGCUGAUGAGGCGGUUGAGGUUGGUAUAGGUAGGGCGCUCAAUGUCUAGGUUUCUGCGGCAGAUGUCAUAGAUGGCUUCAUUAUCCACCAUGAAAGCACAAUCUGAAUGUUCCAGUGUGGUAUGGGUUGUCAGAAUGGAGUUGUAGGGCUCCACAACUGCAGUGGAGACCUGAGGGGCUGGGUAGAUAGCAAAUUCUAGCUUGGAUUUCUUGCCAUAAUCCAGGGAGAGGCGUUCCAUCAGCAAAGAAGUGAAGCCAGAGCCAGUGCCCCCACC
Molecule: long non-coding RNA, 4168 nt
Filed under: Lynx pardinus (Iberian lynx)
Lineage: Eukaryota; Metazoa; Chordata; Mammalia; Carnivora; Felidae
Source: RNAcentral